AGCACAGAGGAGCUUGCUCCUUGGGUGACGAGUGGCGGACGGGUGAGUAAUGUCUGGGAACUGCCCGAUGGAGGGGGAUAACUACUGGAAACGGUAGCUAAUACCGCAUAACGUCGCAAGACCAAAGAGGGGGACCUUCGGGCCUCUUGCCAUCGGAUGUGCCCAGAUGGGAUUAGCUAGUAGGUGGGGUAACGGCUCACCUAGGCGACGAUCCCUAGCUGGUCUGAGAGGAUGACCAGCCACACUGGAACUGAGACACGGUCCAGACUCCUACGGGAGGCAGCAGUGGGGAAUAUUGCACAAUGGGCGCAAGCCUGAUGCAGCCAUGCCGCGUGUAUGAAGAAGGCCUUCGGGUUGUAAAGUACUUUCAGCGAGGAGGAAGGCAUUGUGGUUAAUAACCGCAGUGAUUGACGUUACUCGCAGAAGAAGCUCCGGCUAACUCCGUGCCAGCAGCCGCGGUAAUACCGAGGGUGC
RNAcentral lists this ribosomal RNA (474 nucleotides) under uncultured bacterium. RNAcentral describes it as "bacterial SSU rRNA". It matches the Rfam family "Bacterial small subunit ribosomal RNA", at positions 68 to 535 of the family's 1533-position model. The record is from RNAcentral.